GACAUUCAGCAAAACUGAACUCUCAAUAUAGGAAAAUGCAUUUGGUAAUUGAACACCAAACUAUUUUUGGUCAAGAGCAUUUAUUGUUGAAUCUACAACUUAUUGGAAGUCAGCCGUUUUUGGAAUACAGAGAUACAGUAAGCAUCACAGGAUAUACUCAGAUCCUUUCCCUUCCUGGAUCUUUUGGACUAUGGGAGAAGAACUGGAACAGGGUAUGUCUGCUGAUCGGGAAAUGCACUGAGAUUUCUCUUACAGACUUAGAUUCUAAUUUCAUUUCUAAUUGGAAUGGCUCCCAGUACUCUCCAAGGCCUGUCUAAAUGACUACAAGAUACUGGGUGCUCCACAUCUGUGCAACAUCAGCUGGAGUCCAGAUGCCUUUUCCCCUAGUGCAUUGCACAGAGCAGACCCAACCCUGUCUGUGAAGAGAUCCUCUCUCUUUUGGUCCUCCAAGAUGCCAGCAUUCAAUCAAGACAUGAAAUUUAUUUUCUGAGUCAGAGACCUGUGAAAUUUGCAUCAAAUUCUUAAAAGUGUCAUUCUGGGUAAAUAUUCAUGAAACACACCUGAACAAACUAUCAUCACUCCUUCAGGAGUUUCACCAUUAAGAGAAGGCAGAUAUCUGAAGUGUGCUCUUGGUAAUACCAUCUCUUUGUAUUCCAUGGAAUUAAAUUCUACUCUUCUCACUUUUAAAGAUAUUGAUUCUUUAUAAAACAAUGC
Long non-coding RNA from Passer montanus (Eurasian tree sparrow), 714 nucleotides. RefSeq lists it as uncharacterized. The transcript is spliced from 3 exons. NCBI's taxonomy places the organism in Eukaryota, Metazoa, Chordata, Aves, Passeriformes, Passeridae. The record is from RefSeq and is a predicted model, not a curated record.